UUUUGUAGCAGUUUGUUUUUGUUACAGUAGCAGGCCAGAAGAUAUUAGUCAUAGACCAUGAAGAUGGAUGGUUUCAUUGUAGAUGACAGAUAUGUAGCAUAUGUUACGAAGAAGAUGUUUACAUCACAGACCCUGAAAAAGACUCCAUUGAAGCACAGCAGGAUAAGCAACAUUGAGAUAAGUAUAUUUUAUUUAAAUUAAAACUAUAUUUCAUUUAAAUAUAAACUAAUCUAUGAUUUUUGUUUUUGUAGCAGUUUCUUUUUGUUACAGUAGCAGGCCAGAAGAUAUUAGUCAUAGACCAUGAAGAUGGAUUGUUUCAUUGUAGAUGACAGAUAUGUAGCAUAUGUUAUGAAGAAGAUGUUUACAUCACAGACCCUGAAAAAGACUCCAUUGAAGCACAGCAGGAUAAGCAACAUUGAGAUAAGUAUAUUUUAUUUACAUUAAAACUAUAUUUCAUUUAAGUAUAAACUAAUCUAUGAUUUUUGUUUUUGUAGCAGUUUCUUUUUGUUACAGUAGCAGGCCAGAAGAUAUUAGUCAUAGACCAUGAAGAUGGAUGGUUUCAUUGUAGAUGACAGAUAUGUAGCAUAUGUUACGAAGAAGAUGUUUACAUCACAGACCCUGAAAAAGACUCCAUUGAAGCACAGCAGGAUAAGCAACAUUGAGAUAAGUAUAUUUUAUUUACAUUAAAACUAUAUUUCAUUUAAGUAUAAACUAAUCUAUGAUUUUUUUUUUGUAGCUGUUUGUUUUUGUUACAGUAGCAGGCCAGAAGAUAUUAGUCAUAGACCAUGAAGAUGGAUGGUUUCAUUGUAGAUGACAGAUAUGUAGCAUAUGUUACGAAGAAGAUGUUUACAUCACAGACCCUGAAAAAGACUCCAUUGAAGCACAGCAGGAUAAGCAACAUUGAGAUAAGUAUAUUUUAUUUAAAUUAAAACUAUAUUUCAUUUAAGUAUAAACUUAUCUAUGAUUUUUGUUUUUGUAGCAGUUUCUUUUUGUUACAGUAGCAGGCCAGAAGAUAUUAGUCAUAGACCAUGAAGAUGGAUGGUUUCAUUGUAGAUGACAGAUAUGUAGCAUAUGUUACGAAGAAGAUGUUUACAUCACAGACCCUGAAAAAGACUCCAUUGAAGCACAGCAGGAUAAGCAACAUUGAGAUAAGUAUAUUUUAUUUACAUUAAAACUAUAUUUCAUUUAAGUAUAAACUAAUCUAUGAUUUUUGUUUUUGUAGCAGUUUCUUUUUGUUACAGUAGCAGGCCAGAAGAUAUUAGUCAUAGACCAUGAAGAUGGAUGGUUUCAUUGUAGAUGACAGAUAUGUAGCAUAUGUUACGAAGAAGAUGUUUACAUCACAGACCCUGAAAAAGACUCCAUUGAAGCACAGCAGGAUAAGCAACAUUGAGAUAAGUAUAUUUUAUUUAAAUUAAAACUAUAUUUCAUUUAAGUAUAAACUUAUCUAUGAUUUUUGUUUUGUAGCAGUUUCUUUUUGUUACAGUAGCAGGCCAGAAGAUAUUAGUCAUAGACCAUGAAGAUUGAUGGUUUCAUUGUAGAUGACAGAUAUGUAGCAUAUGUUACGAAGAAGAUGUUUACAUCACAGACCCUGAAAAAGACUCCAUUGAAGCACAGCAGGAUAAGCAACAUUGAGAUAAGUAUAUUUUAUUUACAUUAAAACUAUAUUUCAUUUAAGUAUAAACUAAUCUAUGAUUUUUGUUUUUGUAGCAGUUUCUUUUUGUUACAGUAGCAGGCCAGAAGAUAUUAGUCAUAGACCAUGAAGAUGGAUGGUUUCAUUGUAGAUGACAGAUAUGUAGCAUAUGUUACGAAGAAGAUGUUUACAUCACAGACCCUGAAAAAGACUCCAUUGAAGCACAGCAGGAUAAGCAACAUUGAGAUAAGUAUAUUUUAUUUACAUUAAAACUAUAUUUCAUUUAAGUAUAAACUAAUCUAUGAUUUUUGUUUUUGUAGCAGUUUCUUUUUGUUACAGUAGCAGGCCAGAAGAUAUUAGUCAUAGACCAUGAAGAUGGAUGGUUUCAUUGUAGAUGACAGAUAUGUAGCAUAUGUUACGAAGAAGAUGUUUACAUCACAGACCCUGAAAAAGACUCCAUUGAAGCACAGCAGGAUAAGCAACAUUGAGAUAAGUAUAUUUUAUUUACAUUAAAACUAUAUUUCAUUUAAGUAUAAACUAAUCUAUGAUUUUUGUUUUUGUAGCAGUUUCUUUUUGUUACAGUAGCAGGCCAGAAGAUAUUAGUCAUAGACCAUGAAGAUGGAUGGUUUCAUUGUAGAUGACAGAUAUGUAGCAUAUGUUACGAAGAAGAUGUUUACAUCACAGACCCUGAAAAAGACUCCAUUGAAGCACAGCAGGAUAAGCAACAUUGAGAUAAGUAUAUUUUAUUUACAUUAAAACUAUAUUUCAUUUAAGUAUAAACUAAUCUAUGAUUUUUUUUUUGUAGCUGUUUGUUUUUGUUACAGUAGCAGGCCAGAAGAUAUUAGUCAUAGACCAUGAAGAUGGAUGGUUUCAUUGUAGAUGACAGAUAUGUAGCAUAGUGAAGAUUGAAAAACCAAAUAAAGCAUCAAAGAUAGCAGCUCCAUGGAAGAUGUUUACUUAGAUCUUCAACCAAGUCUGAGGACUGCCGCGAAAGCAACCAAGCAGCAAGGAUAGCAGCUCCAAGGAAGAUUAUUAGAUUGAUCUUCACCCCCAGAAGUCUGAGGCUUGUCAUGAAAGAA
This is a long non-coding RNA of Mytilus californianus (California mussel), 2709 nucleotides long. RefSeq lists it as uncharacterized. NCBI's taxonomy places the organism in Eukaryota, Metazoa, Mollusca, Bivalvia, Mytilida, Mytilidae. The record is from RefSeq and is a predicted model, not a curated record. The transcript is spliced from 12 exons.